GUGAACGCUGGCGGUAGGCCUAACACCUGCAAGUCGCACGGCAGCACAGUAAGAGCUUGCUCUUACGGGUGGCGAGUGGCGGACGGGUGAGGAAUACAUCGGAAUCUACUUUUUCGUGGGGGAUAACGUAGGGAAACUUACGCUAAUACCGCAUACGACCUACGGGUGAAAGCAGGGGAUCUUCGGACCUUGCGCGAUUGAAUGAGCCGAUGUCGGAUUAGCUAGUUGGCGGGGUAAAGGCCCACCAAGGCGACGAUCCGUAGCUGGUCUGAGAGGAUGAUCAGCCACACUGGAACUGAGACACGGCCCAGACUCCUACGGGAGGCAGCAGUGGGGAAUAUUGGACAAUGGGCGCAAGCCUGAUCCAGCCAUACCGCGUGGGUGAAGAAGGCCUUCGGGUUGUAAAGCCCUUUUGUUGGGAAAGAAAAGCAGCAGGUUAAUACCCCGCUGUUCUGACGGUACCCAAAGAAUAAGCACCGGCUAACUUCGUG
This 491-nucleotide ribosomal RNA is filed under the name uncultured bacterium. RNAcentral's name for it is "partial 16S ribosomal RNA". It matches the Rfam family "Bacterial small subunit ribosomal RNA", at positions 29 to 507 of the family's 1533-position model. The record is from RNAcentral.